RNAcentral lists this ribosomal RNA (459 nucleotides) under uncultured bacterium. RNAcentral describes it as "bacterial SSU rRNA". It matches the Rfam family "Bacterial small subunit ribosomal RNA", at positions 339 to 791 of the family's 1533-position model. The record is from RNAcentral.
GUACGGAAGGCAGCAGUCGAGAAUUUUUCACAAUGGGCGCAAGCCUGAUGGAGCGACGCCGCGUGGGGGAUGAAGGGCUUCGGCCCGUAAACCCCUGUCAUUUGCGAACAAUGCGUUGGUGUGAAUAGCGCCAACGUUGAUGGUAGCGAAAGAGGAAGGGACGGCUAACUCUGUGCCAGCAGCCGCGGUAAUACAGAGGUCCCAAGCGUUGUUCGGAUUCACUGGGCGUAAAGGGUGCGUAGGUGGUGAGGUAAGUCGGAUGUGAAAUCUCGGAGCUCAACUCCGAAAUGGCAUUGGAAACUACCUUGCUCGAGGAUUGGAGGGGGGACUGGAAUUCUCGGUGUAGCAGUGAAAUGCGUAGAUAUCGAGAGGAACACCAGUGGCGAAGGCGAGUCCCUGGACAAUUCCUGACGCUGAGGCACGAAAGCUAGGGGAGCAAACAGGAUUAGAUACCCCGGU